CAGCACCGCGGUAAUACGAAGGGUGCAAGCGUUACUCGGAAUUACUGGGCGUAAAGCGUGCGUAGGUGGUGGUUUAAGUCCGUUGUGAAAGCCCUGGGCUCAACCUGGGAAUUGCAGUGGAUACUGGGUCACUAGAGUGUGGUAGAGGAUAGUGGAAUUUCCGGUGUAGCAGUGAAAUGCGUAGAGAUCGGAAGGAACAUCUGUGGCGAAGGCGACUAUCUGGGCCAACACUGACACUGAGGCACGAAAGCGUGGGGAGCGAACAGGAUUAGAUACCCCCGUAGUCCCUGUCUCUUAUACA
Molecule: ribosomal RNA, 301 nt
Filed under: uncultured bacterium
Lineage: Bacteria
Description: partial 16S ribosomal RNA
Rfam family: Bacterial small subunit ribosomal RNA
Source: RNAcentral